GAUGAACGCUGGCGGCGUGCCUAAUACAUGCAAGCCGAGCGAACAGAUAAGGAGCUUGCUCCUUUGACGUUAGCGGCGGACGGGUGAGUAACACGUGGGUAACCUACCUAUAAGACUGGAAUAACUCCGGGAAACCGGGGCUAAUGCCGGAUAACAUUUAGAACCGCAUGGUUCUAAAGUGAAAGAUGGUUUUGCUAUCACUUAUAGAUGGACCCGCGCCGUAUUAGCUAGUUGGUAAGGUAACGGCUUACCAAGGCAACGAUACGUAGCCGACCUGAGAGGGUGAUCGGCCACACUGGAACUGAGACACGGUCCAGACUCCUACGGGAGGCAGCAGUAGGGAAUCUUCCGCAAUGGGCGAAAGCCUGACGGAGCAACGCCGCGUGAGUGAUGAAGGUCUUCGGAUCGUAAAACUCUGUUAUUAGGGAAGAACAAAUGUGUAAGUAACUGUGCACGUCUUGACGGUACCUAAUCAGAAAGCCACGGCUAACUACGUG
RNAcentral lists this ribosomal RNA (497 nucleotides) under uncultured bacterium. RNAcentral's name for it is "partial 16S ribosomal RNA". It matches the Rfam family "Bacterial small subunit ribosomal RNA", at positions 28 to 507 of the family's 1533-position model. The record is from RNAcentral.